GACGAACGCUGGCGGCGUGCCUAAUACAUGCAAGUCGAACGCUUUUUCUUUCACCGGAGCUUGCUCCACCGAAAGAAAAAGAGUGGCGAACGGGUGAGUAACACGUGGGUAACCUGCCCAUCAGAAGGGGAUAACACUUGGAAACAGGUGCUAAUACCGUAUAACACUAUUUUCCGCAUGGAAGAAAGUUGAAAGGCGCUUUUGCGUCACUGAUGGAUGGACCCGCGGUGCAUUAGCUAGUUGGUGAGGUAACGGCUCACAAAGGCAACGAUGCAUAGCCGACCUGAGAGGGUGAUCGGCCACACUGGGACUGAGACACGGCCCAGACUCCUACGGGAGGCAGCAGUAGGGAAUCUUCGGCAAUGGACGAAGUCUGACCGAGCAACGCCGCGUGAGUGAAGAAGGUUUUCGGAUCGUAAAACUCUGUUGUUAGAGAAGAACAAGGAUGAGAGUAGAACGUUCAUCCCUUGACGGUAUCUAACCAGAAAGCCACGGCUAACUACGUGCCAGCAGCCGCCGUAA
This 522-nucleotide ribosomal RNA is filed under the name uncultured bacterium. Its description in RNAcentral is "partial 16S ribosomal RNA". It matches the Rfam family "Bacterial small subunit ribosomal RNA", at positions 28 to 523 of the family's 1533-position model. The record is from RNAcentral.